GACGAACGCUGGCGGCGUGCUUAACACAUGCAAGUCGAGCGGUAAGGCCUCUUCGGGGGUACACGAGCGGCGAACGGGUGAGUAACACGUGGGUGACCUGCCCUCAGCUCUGGGAUAAGCCUGGGAAACUGGGUCUAAUACCGGAUAUGAACUCUCCUCGCAUGGGGUUUGGUGGAAAGUUUUUUCGGCUGGGGAUGGGCCCGCGGCCGAUCCGCCUGUUGGUGGGGUGAUGGCCUACCAAGGCGACGACGGGUAGCCGGCCCGAGAGGGCGACCGGCCACACUGGGACGGAGACACGGCCCAGACUCCUGCGGGAGGCAGCAGUGGGGAAUAUUGCGCAAUGGGCGGAAGCCUGACGCAGCGACGCCGCGUGGGGGAUGACGGCCUUCGGGUUGUAAACCUCUUUCGACCCCGACGAAUUUGGACGGUAGGGUGAGAAGAAGCACCGGCCAACUACGUG
RNAcentral lists this ribosomal RNA (460 nucleotides) under uncultured bacterium. RNAcentral's name for it is "partial 16S ribosomal RNA". It matches the Rfam family "Bacterial small subunit ribosomal RNA", at positions 28 to 507 of the family's 1533-position model. The record is from RNAcentral.